This is a non-coding RNA of Meleagris gallopavo (turkey), 1380 nucleotides long. The record is from RefSeq and is a predicted model, not a curated record. NCBI's taxonomy places the organism in Eukaryota, Metazoa, Chordata, Aves, Galliformes, Phasianidae.
AUAGUCACCAUCUCACCAUUGUGAGGGGCCUUGGCACCGAAGCAGGAGGAUGACAGUUCUUGCAGCCAGUGCAGAGUGAGGUGCUUGGAGCUGGCCAUGCUGCAGAAGGAUGGCCUCCCUCCACCUGCUGGCAGUAGAGCUGCCCCUUGGCCAGGUUAUAGCCCUGGAGCCACCCUUAGGCAUCUCUGCUUUUUCACCCUGAUCCUGUUUCUAGCUUCUCCAUGAAGAAGAGGCAAAGGCUUACAGAGAGGCCACUGGAAGCAGAGAUGCCACUGUUCAGGGGCUGUCCCUGCAGCAGAAACACACGCAGUGGGAGUGUGAGUGGGUCCUGGUGCUGCUGUGUGCUGCCGUGCUGCAGGAUGAGAGGAGGGCUCCACUUGGAUUCAGCCCCACCAGAACCAGAUUUCAGAGAAGAGACCAUCUGAUUUUCUGCGUGGCCCAGUUUUAGACAAAUGGAGGUAGAUGCUGCAGAGGGGGACAGACUUAAAUUCUCUACUUGCUUGUUGUGAGCAGCAUACAAAAGGAGCUCAUUGCCGUCUAAUUGCUCACAACGUGGUUGGGGAGGAGGAAUGAAGUGCACCACUUUGGCAUGAAUAAAUAAUGUUGGAAGGUUACUAGCUUUAUUGGAACCUGUACACCUACUUUGAGAGACCAUCAUUGAUGUUUAAUAUAAGCUUGAAAAAUGAUCAUCAUUUUGGUGCUGUGGUGCACUGUUCUGUAAUUUCUGCUCGUAAAGAGACCACAGAUCUCAACAAAUGACAAUUUCUUUAUGGGCAAAUUCUAUAAUAUAUUUUAUUUUAAUGUUGUGGUAUGUCUAGUGUCUUCUGGAAGGGAAUGAAGAAUUGACCACGAUUUCUUCUCCCUAAAGAUAUUCUUCAUUUUGAGGUAGAAUCAGAGAAAAACAUAAUUAUCUUGUUAAAAUCGUGUGACAGGAAUUAAAAGGCAAAUGGUUAUCAGAGUAUUACAAAUCUUCAAUUUACUCUAUCUGUACAUGACAUUUAUCAUAACUGACAGCAUAAAGUCUGUGAUUUCAAGAUAAGAACAUAACUAAACUGGUUUUGUCUGUUUUCAAAUUGUUUUAUUUACAUCAUUGAAUAGUGUUUACAUUUUAGACAGCCAAUUUGUUGUUUUAAAAAACAUGAUCUUAGAAGAAAAAAUGGUCUUCUGUGCUUCUCCUGUCUGUAAUAUUUCAUUUGAAAAUGGCAGUGUAAUUUGAAAUGUAUAUUUUGUAAUUAUAGUUUUUGAUCAAAGGAUUGUGGAGCUUGCAAAACAGAUGAAUUCCUAGAUUAAACUGUUCUGUAGUUAGUUGAUAAAUAUGAUUUAAAAUGUUGCUAAUGUAAAUUGUUCGUUCAGUUUGAACUAUUAAAUAAGAUUAGAUUA